This 6343-nucleotide long non-coding RNA is filed under the name Sus scrofa (pig). Its description in RNAcentral is "lncRNA (ENSSSCG00000053082.1)". The record is from RNAcentral. Lineage: Eukaryota; Metazoa; Chordata; Mammalia; Artiodactyla; Suidae.
UAACAUUUUAAAAUACACUACGGCUAGCACAAUAUGAAUCAGGAAAUAGCUGUAUAUAUAGCUGAGGAUGUGCAAAUACUUACAAUGUAAGACGUUCCUGUCUUAAAAUUAUUAAAUCAUCGCAAGAUUCUGUGGGUUUAAUCUGAUCAGCUCCACUUAGAAGAGGAGAGCCCUUUGAUAUGCAAGUGUGAAUUCAAAUGCAGACCCUAAAUGUAUGUGUAUUCUUCUUGAGACAGGUACUGUGAAACCGAUAAAUACACUCCCUAGUGGUUCCGUACAAGGCUAUGGAGUAAAUAUUGACAGUCUUAACCAAUUAGCCAUUUGAAAUAAAAUUCCUUACUGUUGUUUCUUACUGAUAAAUGCUAAAUUUAUCAGUUUGAACCACUCAGAAAUAUUCUUUAGAUCUCUGCCUUUUUUUUCUUUUUACAGCUGCACCCAAGACAUAUGGUAGUUCUGGGCUAGGAGUCAAGUCAGAGCUGCAGCUGCAGGCCUACACACCACAGCCAUAGCAACGCCGGAUCUGAGCCACAUCUGCGACCUGUGCCACAGCUUGUCGCAACACUGGCUCCUUAACCUACUCAGCGAGGCCAGGGAUCAAACUCGUAUCUUCAUGGAUACCAGUUUGGGUUCUUAACCUGCUGAGCCACAAUGGGAACUCCAUAGAGCUCUGAUUUCUUUAAAAAGUAUAUUCUCUGGCUGUUGGUCUAUUUGCAACUUUUUUUUUUAUUACGAUCGCCCAGUGAAGUUUGGAUAUUCAACAAGGACUAUAUGGUUUGCUAAUAAAUAUCACAAUAAGAUAAAUGUUUGUGUAUGUAUUUAUAUGUAUGUAGUACUUCACUCGAUAAUAAUAAUAGUAUUAUAUUAGCAAUUUAAUUUGAAGGUGUUAGGGUAUAGAUAUUGAAAAUUUGUUUUAUCGAACUCUUGGAAGAAAAAAUUCACCUUUUUUUUUUUUUUUGCUUUUGAGGACUGUACCUGCACAUAGGAAGUUCCCAGGCUAGGGGUUGAUUCAGAGCAACAGCUGCAGGCCUACAGCACAGCCACAGCAACUUGGGGUCUGAGCCACGUCUGCAGCCUACACCACAGCUCACGGCACCACUGGAUCCCCGACCCACUGAGUGAGGCCAGGGGUCAAAGCCGCAUGCUCAUGGAUACAGUUGGAUUCCUUUCUGCUGUGCCGCAGUGGGGCCUCCUCCUCUUCUGACUUGUGACGGUGAAUACGGAACUUUAUCAUUUGUGCGCAGUAUCCUUGCGAGUGUAGGAGAGACUUCCCUUUGUGUUCCUCACCUGAGUGUGCGCCUUACCAGGGCCUGUCCCCCUUUCUGGUCACCUGGUUAUGCGCCCCAAGUAGCGGGAACCCCAGUGACAGUCGGCGUCCCGAGGCUGGGAGGCCACUGCCUCUGAAAUGAGACUCGUAAAACAAGUAAGGCCCUUACGGACCGGACCUGAGGGUGAGGAUAGGAAACCACAUUCAGUAGCACAGGAUCUUCGGGACCUCGUUACUCCGGAGUUGUAGACGACACUUCCCUGUCUGGAAAGGUGGAGCCGUGGGUCCCUUGGCUGCUGUGUGCCUUUGGUGGCUCCUGAACAGCUCUUCUUGAGUUCCCCCUGUGAGGAGCUUCAUGGUGAGCCCUGGGAGUGUGGAAAGAACUCAGUGCACAUGAAGCAAUAGCGCUGUAGCCACAUAAGGACAGUUUUAGUUUCAAGCACAUAACGGUGUUACUUUCACACCAUCGGUUUGAUUCAAAGCAGACGGAUCGUGACCUAGAAUUUCAAAACAGGGACAAUUCUACCAGCAUUCUUCUGAGCUGUAUGUUCUGAAAUGUCCCCUGAAGUAUCUGGAAAGACGUAAUCCCGUAUGCAGAUUUUCCAGACGUGGGGCGUGCACUUCCACCCCGUCGAGUCACUGAGGGUGCUGUGAAGUGAGGACCUCUCUGCGGAGUUCUCCAUUUCAGGGUGAGGCGCCUCUGACUUUGAUGUAUUUUGUUUCGAGAGUAUUUUCCUUGUUCCCCCCUUCAUUUUCCUCGACUAGUGGAUAUGAAUUUGCUGGAUGAAACCUGAAAUUCUACUUAAAAAACCAUAUACAAGUGAACCCAUUAUGAAAGAUGUUAUUAAAGAGAAUAAGUUAUUGCUUGACCUCAUUCAUUACAUUAAGCCAGUAUAUAGUAUCUGCAGAUACGCCAUCUGUGUCUGUUUCCUAGGACCCUGCCAUAACACGGCACCAAAAUCUAGAUGGUUUAAAACCACGGAAGUUGAUCGUCUUACUGUUCCAUAGAUGAGAAGCCUGAGAUGAAGGGGAGAGUGCUUCCUUGAUUCUGUCAGCUUCUGGUGUUUGCCCACGAGGCUCGGCCUCACUCGGCUUCUAGAGGCUUCAUUCGAGCCACGAGGCCAUCUUUUCCGUGUGUAUCUUUCCAUCAUUACCUCUCUGUGCGUGUCCUCCUUGUCCACACCUCCCUUUUUCAUAAGCGCAACAGUUAUAUUGGCCUAUGGGGUACCUUAGUGCCCUCAUUUUAACUGCAUUUCCUAAGGUCACGUUCAGAGGUACUGGGCCUUAAGACUUCAGCUUAUCUUUCUUUUUCUUUUCUUUUUCUUUUGGAGAAUAUACCACCUCAUGCUGGAAAUGGGGAGGACGUUUUUCAUUCAUUUAGGACGUGCUUACUGGAGUCAAGUUACGAGACAGAGACACACAAGCCAGGUAGUGGCAAACCUUUAAAAAAUGUCUAUCAUUAUUCAUUAUUUAUUCACUUAUUUAAACGAUACAGACAAACCUCAUGGAUUAAAGCAGCACAGUUAGCAAAGGGUGUGUUUUCGGGACACUGGUGUCAGAGAUUGUCAUCAUGUGAGAAAAGGUUUCUAGGCCUAAAAAAAAAAAAGGACGAAAUGUUGGGUUAAAUAGUUCGAAAUGUUCAUUACUGCAAGACUUCUCAGAGCCUUGAAUAUGCUCUUGGGCUCUGAGAAGCACCAGCAGGAGGCCAAACAAACUUACUUAUUUCCCAAACUUACUUGACCACAGAACUUUUCUUUAUAAUCAGAAGAAUUACGUUUCCUAGGAAAACACUGGAAACUUACUUAGUGUCAAACCAUAUGAUCUUAUUUAAAAUGUCAUGACAGAGUUACAGUAAUCUAAUGGUUACAAAAAUAAUUCAUGGCCCUUGGGAGUCGACCAGAGGUUUUCAGAAUUCACAAAACUCUCAUAUAAAGUCCGUCCUCAAGAGAGCGCAGAUUGCUUUUAUGACAGAUGCAAGAAAAUUCUGUUUAGAGGACUGAAUUCCGUGUGUUACCCAGCAAAUGUGAUUAACUUCUAAAUCUAAUAAGCAAGGAACCCGUUCUUGAAACAAAGCAAAGAAGCAUAUUUGCUUCACUUUUUACACACACUAUUUAUUGCCAUGGUUGAGAGACACAGGAUGCAUUCUAAACAACCCGUGUCAAACUCUGCCUGAUAUCCCUCUAGGGAAUUUUUAUUACCUCCCCCCUCCCAAUUUGGCUGUGGUUGGAAAAAUGUGAUAGACAUUAUUCUGGAUGUUGAAAAUAUGUGCCUCCCAUAUACUUUAGAGAUGAUGCCACAUUGCUGAUGAUAUAUCAGCUUGAGGAAAUGUGAAGUCAUCUACUAAAUUAUAUUAGGAAAAAACUUAGUGACUGUACUUAUAUUGGCAAGGUAGAGGUGGGACAGUUACCCAAAACCAUCUCCACCAUAAGAAACCUGGAAAAUGAGUUCAUCGUGGCUCAGUGGUUAACGAACCCGACUAGUAAUCAUGAGGUUAUGGGUUCGAGCCCUGGCUUCUCUCCGUGGGUUAAGGAUCUGGUGUUGCCAUGAGUUGUGGUGUAGGUCACAGAUGCGGCUCGGGUCCCACGUUGCUGUGGCUGCAGCCAGCAGUUGUAGCUCCAAUUCGACCCUUAGCUUGGGAACCUCCAUGUGCUGCGGUGCGGCCCUAAAAAGACAAAAGAGAAAAAAAGAGAAAUCUGGAAAACGAGGUAAUUGUGUGUUUGUCUUCAUCGCACUAAGAACCACAGAUGAGCUGAGAGGUGCUUAACAAGCAGCUGGCCCCACGUCUGCUUGGAUUACGGGGUUGGGAUGGGUGUGGCUCCUGCAGAGAGAAGUAGUUUCGUUAGGACUGCUUGCCUUCCCUGUUGGCGACACAUUUGGAUGCAUGAAGUUACGGCCAGUCUGAGGAGCUGUGGAGACUUUCAGACACAUCUGCACCCUCGAAAUAUGGAAGUGGCAGUCACAUUUACUGACGACUUUCCAGGGACAGCAUCUGCCAGUGUUACCAGGCCACCCCCGGGUCUGCGUACCCGCACAGGAAAGCCAACCCACUGACAGCGGGUUUUGGUGAAGGAAAGUGCGGCAUUUACUGUACAGCGCCGUAUUCUAGUCCGGGACAGCCAGUGUGGACGGAGCCCACACUCCCACUGGGUCUCCGUGGAGGAAGUAGGUUCCACGGAGGAACGCGUUUUUUAAAGGUCAGGUGAAGGCAUCACAGGGUGUGUGAUCCGCGCGCGCAGAGUUCUCUGAUGGGCUGUUGGUGAGGUGAUAGGGCGGUGUCGCGUUUGCCAUCCUUGGGCUCCAGCGCCGUGCUCAUGGCCGUCAGGUGGUUCACAUCUUCCACUGGGUGGGGGCUUUCUCAUCUGCGGAACUUGGGGAAAUGUGCGUCAGGUCCCCUUGUCUAGAUAGUUGAGAGAGGCGCUAACGCAAAGGUAUGGGCAGGGUCUGUCUUGGGAGGCCGUAGGCUUCUGCUGAUUAUGCCCGAAAAUCACCAAGUCGUCCUCCACGUGGUUUCUCCCUCUGAAUUCCACGGUCUUCUAGUUUUCUGCGCUCAGUACUCCGUACCUACUGACAGGGCUAGCUGAGUGAAACCCACCUCGAGAUGACAUACUUCGUCUCUAACCGCGGGUAGGAUAACUUUGCAGGACGAAACAUGAAUUCUUUGGACUUCUAAGGCCCAGACAAAGGAUUUUCCAAACUUCCAGACUCAAAUAUCUCAUUAAAUCUGUCUGUUUUGAGUUUGCGGAUGAUGCUAGUAAAUUAAAAAAAGGAUCAUCUCUCACGGACUUUUGUUUUGUAUGUGACAUCAUGGUGCCCAGAAGAUUUUUUGUGCCUGGCACAGCAGUUGCUAAAGCGAGUGCGAAUGUUGCUGAUGUAUAGGUGCACAGGGAAACUGAGCGGCACUCUGCAGAGGCAGACAGCAGUUGGAAAGGUUACAGUGGUCUUCAGAAGCGGAAAGCCCCAGGACUGGACAGGGGGUCUCGUUGCUGCCUCGGGGCCUCUGUUGAGUCAGCCAGCCUGUGCUAUAUACUUUGGUUGCUGAGCAAAUCUGAGGGGCUUGAUGCUUCCUCCGCUGGCCUCAAGCAUGCCUCAGUUUCAAAAGUGGAGGUGGAGACUUCUGUAUUUCUUAGAAAUGUUUCCGUCUCUUCAGAUGAAUAGCAAUGUAGGAAGGUCACACAUUGUGUAUUAUUGAUGAUUAGCAUCUUCUUCAAGGCCACUCCCUGUAGGGAGAGAAAGCCAAGAACGUUCCCUUCAUUUAAGCUUAUUAGGAAAAGCAGAGCCCUGGACAGCAGGGGAAUUUCUGGGAUGCAUACAAACGUCCCUUUGCAGUGGCCAACCAAUGUUUCCCCUCCACUGGGCUCAACCAAGCAGAUGUUCUUAAUCUUUGGCUGAUAAAUGAAAAUGCAGCUCAUCAUUUCAAAAAUGCAUAUCAUUGACCAGUGUUCAAGCAGUACUGUCUGGGUGGAACAUUUUUACAGAUUGCAGACCUCUUGGAAGUGGAAAUGAGAAGAGAUUUGAGUGUAUAUUAAAGAAUACCACUGGGGUGUGUGUUCAACUUCUGGGAGCAACGACUGUGUAGCUGAUUGAGUCCUAAGCGUGAAUCCACGAGACGUGGUUGCUGUUACUGCGAUCAUAUGCAGAAGUUUUUGUUUAUUUAAGUUAUUCUAGUUCAGUUGGAGCAGCUUUGGAAAUGUGCUUGGGUUACUUACCUAAGCUUAGAGCAAACUUUUCAUGAGCAAUCCCAUUGAGGACUGGAAUUGUUCCUUCUUCCUUGAACUGGGACCUCCAGUUUUAAAUACAAAUAAUUAAACUGUUUUCAAAGCUUUAGGUCUUCCAUUUUGUAUAGUUAACUCAUUGUUAGCCAAGGCAGUUGUCAUCAGGCAACUUCGUAUUGUUUCUUUGGGUAUCCAGUUAAGAGCCUUACUGUAGGCAACUUGAUAAGUCUUCUACCCAAUCCAGAAGGUCUUGAAGAGUUCCUAAAAUUACUUCCAUGGAGAGGUAGCUACCCAAGUCCUAUCAAACUGUGAUGUAGCACUUUUGUUUGGCAGGACUGAAACCAUUUACAUGGAUAGAAAUUUAUAC